Molecule: ribosomal RNA, 908 nt
Filed under: Harknessia rhabdosphaera
Lineage: Eukaryota; Fungi; Ascomycota; Sordariomycetes; Diaporthales; Harknessiaceae
Description: eukaryotic LSU rRNA
Rfam family: Eukaryotic large subunit ribosomal RNA
Source: RNAcentral
CCCGCUGAACUUAAGCAUAUCAAUAAGCGGAGGAAAAGAAACCAACAGGGAUUGCCCUAGUAACGGCGAGUGAAGCGGCAACAGCUCAAAUUUGAAAUCUGGCUUCGGCCCGAGUUGUAAUUUGCAGAGGAUGUUUCUGGCGCGGUGCCUUCCGAGUUCCCUGGAACGGGACGCCACAGAGGGUGAGAGCCCCGUAUGGUUGGACACCAAGCCUGUGUGAAACUCCUUCGACGAGUCGAGUAGUUUGGGAAUGCUGCUCUAAAUGGGAGGUAAAUCUCUUCUAAAGCUAAAUACCGGCCAGAGACCGAUAGCGCACAAGUAGAGUGAUCGAAAGAUGAAAAGCACCUUGAAAAGGGGGUUAAACAGUACGUGAAAUUGUUGAAAGGGAAGCGCUCAUGACCAGACUUGUGCCGGGCGGUUCAUCCGGGGUUCUCCCCGGUGCACUCCGCCCGGUUCAGGCCAGCAUCGGUUCUCGUUGGGGGAUAAGAACGGUAGGAACGUGGCCCUCCCUCGGGAGGGUGUUAUAGCCUGCCGUACGAUACCUUGAUGGGGACCGAGGUUCGCGCUCCGCAAGGAUGCUGGCGUAAUGGUCAUCAGCGACCCGUCUUGAAACACGGACCAAGGAGUCGUCCAUUAGAGCGAGCGUUUGGGUGUAAAACCCGCACGCGUAAUGAAAGUGAAAUUAGGUGAGAGCUUCGGCGCAUCAUCGACCGAUCCUGAUGUUCUCGGAUGGAUUUGAGUAAGAGUUUUAACGGACGGACCCGAAAGACAGUGAACUAUGCUUGUAUAGGGUGAAGCCAGAGGAAACUCUGGUGGAGGCUCGCAGCGGUUCUGACGUGCAAAUCGAUCGUCAAAUAUGAGCAUGGGGGCGAAAGACUAAUCGAACUGUCUAGUAGCUGGUUACCGCC